RNAcentral lists this transfer RNA (50 nucleotides) under Emydoidea blandingii (Blanding's turtle). RNAcentral describes it as "Emys blandingii (Blanding's turtle) partial tRNA-His". Lineage: Eukaryota; Metazoa; Chordata; Testudines; Emydidae. The record is from RNAcentral.
GUUAAUAUAGUUUCAAACCAAACAUUAGACUGGGGCUCUAAAAAUAGGGA